RNAcentral lists this ribosomal RNA (208 nucleotides) under uncultured bacterium. RNAcentral describes it as "partial 16S ribosomal RNA". It matches the Rfam family "Bacterial small subunit ribosomal RNA", at positions 524 to 730 of the family's 1533-position model. The record is from RNAcentral.
UACGGAGGGAGCUAGCGUUGUUCGGAAUUACUGGGCGUAAAGCGCACGUAGGCGGCUUUGUAAGUUAGAGGUGAAAGCCCGGGGCUCAACUCCGGAACUGCCUUUAAGACUGCAUCGCUUGAAUCCGGGAGAGGUGAGUGGAAUUCCGAGUGUAGAGGUGAAAUACGUAGAUAUUAGGAAGUAACGACCGAAGCAUCGGCGAAUGGGC